Molecule: long non-coding RNA, 361 nt
Organism: Equus caballus (horse)
Lineage: Eukaryota; Metazoa; Chordata; Mammalia; Perissodactyla; Equidae
Source: RefSeq, a predicted model, not a curated record
GUGGCUCCCCCCACUUGCAGCAGCCUCGCUGGGUCCCAGUCUCAGAGCAGCUCCUCCAUCUCUUCCCACCACCCAGCAUCCAGCCGGCGUUCACCAUGCGGGGCCUCUGCUUCGUGCUCCUGACCUGCUUCAUCCUCUUUCCUCACUUUGCCACAGCCCAGGUCCAGGAUGUAGACUCAGAGAAGGAGUGCUAUAAAAGAGAGGCCGAGUGUAAAUGGUUUUACUGCCCAGAAAAUCAUCACCAUCUUGGUACCUGUUGGUUUGGGAUAAAGAAAUGCUGUCUGCGCUGGGAAUGAGCUGAAGAACAUGGGAGGACAAGGAGCCCGGAGAAUGAAAUAAAGGCCUGACUGUAACUCUGAAA